RNAcentral lists this ribosomal RNA (253 nucleotides) under Fusicatenibacter saccharivorans. RNAcentral's name for it is "partial 16S ribosomal RNA". It matches the Rfam family "Bacterial small subunit ribosomal RNA", at positions 524 to 776 of the family's 1533-position model. The record is from RNAcentral. Lineage: Bacteria; Bacillati; Bacillota; Clostridia; Lachnospirales; Lachnospiraceae.
UACGUAGGGGGCAAGCGUUAUCCGGAUUUACUGGGUGUAAAGGGAGUGUAGACGGCAAGGCAAGUCUGAAGUGAAAGCCCGGUGCUUAACGCCGGGACUGCUUUGGAAACUGUUUAGCUGGAGUGCCGGAGAGGUAAGCGGAAUUCCUAGUGUAGCGGUGAAAUGCGUAGAUAUUAGGAAGAACACCAGUGGCGAAGGCGGCUUACUGGACGGUAACUGACGUUGAGGCUCGAAAGCGUGGGGAGCAAACAGG